UACAGAGACUGCAAGCGUUAUUCGGAUUCACUGGGCGUAAAGGGUGCGCAGGCGGCCGGGUGGGUCAGAUGUGAAAUCCCGAGGCUUAACCUCGGAACUGCGUCUGAAACUACUCGGCUAGAGUAUUGGAGAGGGUAACGGAAUUCACGGUGUAGCAGUGAAAUGCGUAGAUAUCGGGAGGAACAUCAGUGGCGAAGGCGGCGAUCUGGGAAGAUACUGACGCUGAGGUGCGAAAGCGUGGGGAGCAAACAGG
Molecule: ribosomal RNA, 253 nt
Filed under: uncultured bacterium
Lineage: Bacteria
Description: partial 16S ribosomal RNA
Rfam family: Bacterial small subunit ribosomal RNA
Source: RNAcentral